This 149-nucleotide microRNA precursor is filed under the name Glycine soja. RNAcentral describes it as "MIR1520 microRNA precursor family". It matches the Rfam family "MIR1520 microRNA precursor family". The record is from Rfam by way of RNAcentral. Lineage: Eukaryota; Viridiplantae; Streptophyta; Magnoliopsida; Fabales; Fabaceae.
UUAUUAUUCGAUGAUAACUGUCACGUGUCAUGUUCUAAUUGGUCGAUGAGAAUAACAAUGCAUUUUAUCUUUCAUGGAAUUGACAUCCAAUAAAAGGACAUGUGGCAGUCAUCAUCCAAUAAGAACGUGACAAGUGACAGUCAACAUCA